Ochotona curzoniae (black-lipped pika) is the source of this 896-nucleotide long non-coding RNA. RefSeq lists it as uncharacterized. The record is from RefSeq and is a predicted model, not a curated record. The transcript is spliced from 3 exons. NCBI's taxonomy places the organism in Eukaryota, Metazoa, Chordata, Mammalia, Lagomorpha, Ochotonidae.
UUUUAAAAACACAUGUCAGAUUGGAUGAACCCACUCUAUUGGCCUCAUUUUUACUUAAUCAGCUCCAAAUGCAACCACAUUACAAUGUGCUGGGAGUUAGCACUUGAAUAUAUUAAUUUUAGGGGUAAUCAUCUUGGUCUAUAAUUCCCUAUUAAUCAGCCUGAUUCUCCAUCCAUUUCUCUAUCAUCUGUGUGUAUAUGUGUUUGUUAUCUAUCCAUCCAUUUAUCACCAUCAUCUGUCUGUUCAUCUAUCAUCUGUCCAGUCUGGCAUCCAUACAUCUCUGUGUACUGUCAGCCUUCUCUGUGUACUGCCAAUCCAUCAUCUACUGAUCCAUUCAUUCGUUUACCUACCUACGACUGAAUUUGCAACAGGGAUGUGACCUUGUGCACCAGGAGAGCUGCAUAAGUCGAUUCUGCCUGGGUGCUGUCUUUGCUUCACGUUGGAGAUUCAUUCCCGGAGAAUGUGGACUAAGUGAAGACCCGUUAAGAACAAGCUGGAGCCAACAGUGUGAGCAACACAAAGAAGGAAAUCAAAAAGACCACCUGCAUGAACUGAAGGUGACUCUGACAUCUGCUAGAGGCAUCCAGAGUGUGGCUGUGGCUUUCACUCUAUUCAGCUCUGUUGCCAUCCUUGAUAUGUUCAGAAAGUGCUCCAAAGAAAUGAGACAGAGGAACUUUUGACCAGUCAUGGGCAUGGCUGCUUAUAAUUGGCCACCCGCCUGGAUACACAAUGUCCACCCUCUUGUUGCACUGUGGUUCCAAAGUUACCGGGCACUGCAGGAGAUGCCCGCUCCCAGUGGUGAGCUGUAAUAGCCAGAUUCUGUGUGUUGACUUCUGCCUGUGGUUUCGUUCUACCAUUUUCUUGGUUCCUUCUCUCUGCCCUUUCCUUCCAGCAUC